This 273-nucleotide ribosomal RNA is filed under the name uncultured bacterium. Its description in RNAcentral is "partial 16S ribosomal RNA". It matches the Rfam family "Bacterial small subunit ribosomal RNA", at positions 15 to 286 of the family's 1533-position model. The record is from RNAcentral.
GAUCAUGGCUCAGUAUGAACGCUGGCGGCGUGCCUAACACAUGCAAGUCGAACGGUUAAGGCGCCUUCGGGCGCGCAUAGAGUGGCGAACGGGUGAGUAACACGUGACCAACCUGCCCCCUCCUCCGGGACAACCUCGGGAAACCGAGGCUAAUACCGGAUGGUCCCGCCGGGCCGCAUGGCCGGGCGGGGAAAGCCCAGGCGGGGAGGGGAUGGGGUCGCGGCCCAUCAGGUAGUAGGCGGGGUGACGGCCCACCUAGCUGACGACGGGUAG